This 885-nucleotide unclassified non-coding RNA is filed under the name Hevea brasiliensis (rubber tree). The record is from RNAcentral. Lineage: Eukaryota; Viridiplantae; Streptophyta; Magnoliopsida; Malpighiales; Euphorbiaceae.
UUGGAUACCUAAAAACUGUGGUUUUUAAAUAGAAUUGGCAACAAACUCAAGAAAAGCAAAUUUGUUGACUUCUCUUGCCUAUUAGCAUGCAAUUCCUUGGCAGCUCCUGACACAAGCAGAUUUCUUAAAAAUUUUGUACUUUUUUGAGUAUUGAGACGCCUAGACUGCAAUCGGUUCGCUCACUUGACUUGAAACGUGAGCUUCAACCUUUGCUGAUUUAAAAAGUUCAUCAAGGACUUCAGACAGAGUUGGAUGUGCAUGUACAGCAAAUUUUAUAUCCUGAAUGCGGGUCCCCAACGCUAUAGCAUUGGAUGCUUCAUGAAUGAGAUCAGCAGCAUGCAACCCAAAAAUAUGAACUCCGAGUAUCUCUCCAGUAUCAGGUCUGUAUAUCAACUUAGCAAGCCCCUCUCCUUCAUUUUCUGCAAGGGCCUUUGUGUUGGCCUUAAAACUUGUCUUGGCAACACUUACUUCAAAUGCUUCUGUUUCACCUUUCUCCCUUGCUUGAGGCUCUGUCAAUCCAACCAUGCUGAUUUCAGGAUGAGUGAAACAAGCUGCUGGAAUGCUUAAAUGAUUUAGCACAUGAUCUCUUCCAGUGACUUGUUCAACCACUGAAAUUCCUUGUGCACUGGCCGCAUGAGCAAGCAUCAUUUUACCAUUCGCAUCACCAAUACAAUACAAGUGAGGUACCAGAUUUCCGUCAGCAUCAAUAACACGCAUACGAUCAUCAACAGGGACAAAACCACGUUGUGUCACAACAUUGAUAUUCUCCAAACCAAGACCAUUUGUGAAUGGAGCUCUUCCGGUUGCAAUUAAAGCUGCAUCAACCUCCAAAGUAUCUUUGUGUUCCUUGGUCUUGGCAUCAAUAAGCUCAAUAGUGACAGGUUU